This 1933-nucleotide long non-coding RNA is filed under the name Mus caroli (Ryukyu mouse). RNAcentral's name for it is "lncRNA (MGP_CAROLIEiJ_G0004575.1)". The record is from RNAcentral. Lineage: Eukaryota; Metazoa; Chordata; Mammalia; Rodentia; Muridae.
AGAGACAGCUAUAUCAGGGUCCCUUCAGCAAAAUCUUGCUGGCAUAUGCUAUAAUGUCUGCGUUUGGUGGCUGAUUUUGGGAUGGAUCCCCAGGUGGGAGUCUCUGGAUGGCCCAUCCUUUUGUCUCAGCUCCAAACUUUGUCUCUGAAAAAAAUAUGGAACGCUUCACGAAUUUGCGUGUCAUCCUUGCGCAGGGGUCAUGCUAAUCUUCUCUUUUGGUACAUGUGCUGCUGAAGCGAGCACAAACCCAAACUCUUAUUCCAAGUUAAAGCCUUAGUUUUCCUGUAUCAAUGAUGUGCUACAGAAUUGUUCCCUGCCUGCUUUCAAUUCCCAAAUCUUUCCCAAGUGAGGGAGCCCUGUAGGAGAAGCAGGCAGGUUUGAGCACAACCUGCUGACUCCUGUCACAGUUGCAUUCUCCUUCUAAGAAACCUUAGAAAUCUAGUCUGGUUUACCCUACGCAUUCAGGGCAGCAGCAUACGCUGGGCUGCAGCAUAGUGGACAGCAGGGGUCAGGAGGCAACCUCAGCCGAGGCUCGUUGUGACUUGUGAAAUAAGCCCCCUGACCCUUCCCCUCUCUCAUCAGCAACACCAGGACCACUCUCCCAAAGGAGUUUACAUUUUUGGUUUAUUCAUGGAGGGGGCGCGAUGGGACCCUGAACAGGAAGUGCUGGAAGACUCGCUGCCCAGUCAGCUAUGCUGUGAAUUUCCGGACAUGCUCUUUUUGCCAACAAAGAUUACUGAACCCCCGGCCUCCCAGGAUUCUGACCAGACAGCCUCAGAACUGCACACUUUUGAGUGCCCAGUCUACUACACGCCCGAGAGGUCAAGAAACAUGAUUGGCUUACCAACAACCGUGCUGACCUCAGUGCACUUACCCACGAAGAAACCUCCUAGCCACUGGAUCACCAUGCAGGUUGCACUGCUGUGUGAGAAGAAUGAGUGAAUAAACACCCAGAGCAAACCCAUCUAAGCCUGGGCUCUUCCUCCACGUCCAUGCAUGAGGACCGUCACAUGCAGGGAGCAUCCCUGGAACAGCAUGUGCCUAGCCAAACCUGGCGGGAGGUGUGGGAGACUUCAACAGGCAAGCAGUGGCUGUGCAGCCUGUCAUGGAACACGGAAGCUUCUACUAUGCAUAUACAUUUGCUUCAAAAUGUUACAGAGCCUAUAACAGUUUUUUAAGCACUUGGUGUUCUUAAACAGCAAAUAGUAAACACGACCAGUUUCAGGUCUCCUCUCCAGCCCAGGAUGGCCUCAAACACAUGGAGAUCCUCCUGACCCACCCUCUUGGCCUGCUGCGAUUACAGGGGUGAGCCACCACUGAGUCAGGCCCUAGAGUCUUUGCUUUGCUAAGUCAGUCCCUGGGUUCCUACAGUUCCGAAAGACUCAAAAAAGGAAAAAAGGGGGGGGGGGAGUGGUAUGGCAAAACAGAGAGUUGGCCAUCUUGCUGUCGGUAAUCCCAAAGCUGUGGCAAAGAAAUGAGGCUCUAACAGCAACUCUUUAUUUUCAACUUUUUGUUUCCAACCAAAAUUUUAUUACAAAGCUUGCCAAACAUCAAAUUAAAAACAACUUGCACCUAAUAUCCAGAUACUGUGACACUGCCCGCCCUUUCAGAACCAGGCAAAGAACCCAAAGUUGUUUCCUUGUAAGCUUAUUAAAACACACCAUGUUGAUUCCAGUAGAAAGCAUGAUAGAAAACCACCUGCUGAACACCUUAGGACUAGUGAAACAGGAAAGGAUGACAGAGUGCAGAGAGUAGCACGGCAAGAUCAGACGGGCACAGCCACUUAACACUAAGCUACAGAGCAGGAGGAUCUGAACAUUUGCAUCUAGCUCACAUGUGAUAUGUGUAAUAGAAACCCAAAUGUACACACUAUAUGUACUGCAUCCUUAUGUUUACUCUGGGGACAAUGUAGCUUUGAAUACAAAAAGUCUAG